GGACUCGUAGCUCAGUUGGUUAGAGCGUUGCAUUGACAUUGCAAAGGUCAGAGGUUCGAAUCCUCUCGGGUCCACCA
RNAcentral lists this transfer RNA (77 nucleotides) under Pseudomonadota bacterium. RNAcentral describes it as "tRNA-Val". It matches the Rfam family "tRNA". From Rfam's summary of the family: Transfer RNA (tRNA) molecules are approximately 80 nucleotides in length. Their secondary structure includes four short double-helical elements and three loops (D, anti-codon, and T loops). Lineage: Bacteria; Pseudomonadati; Pseudomonadota. The record is from RNAcentral.